This 212-nucleotide long non-coding RNA is filed under the name Setaria viridis. RNAcentral describes it as "long non-coding RNA (SVIR_LNC008615)". Lineage: Eukaryota; Viridiplantae; Streptophyta; Magnoliopsida; Poales; Poaceae. The record is from RNAcentral.
GGGGAGGCAGAAUCCAGAAUAAAUCUCUAUGUUUAGUACAGACAACAAUCAAAAGUUUACUGAAAAAAAACUACUGUCAAGGUUUGUACAAGAUGCACAUAAAGGGAUGACAGAAUGCACAUGAUUCAAAUAUUGCAUGCCCGUGCCCUGCAAAUGCUUAAUUACUUGUAACCUUACAUAUAUUCGCUGCAGAAGCACAAGCUAGCUAUUAU